This 253-nucleotide ribosomal RNA is filed under the name uncultured bacterium. RNAcentral's name for it is "partial 16S ribosomal RNA". It matches the Rfam family "Bacterial small subunit ribosomal RNA", at positions 524 to 776 of the family's 1533-position model. The record is from RNAcentral.
UACAGAGGUCUCAAGCGUUGUUCGGAUUCAUUGGGCGUAAAGGGUGCGUAGGUGGCGCCGUAAGUCAGGUGUGAAAUUUCGGAGCUUAACUCCGAAACUGCAUUUGAUACUGCGGUGCUUGAGGACUGGAGAGGAGACUGGAAUUCACGGUGUAGCAGUGAAAUGCGUAGAUAUUGUGAGGAAGACCAGUGGCGAAGGCGGGUCUCUGGACAGUUCCUGACACUGAGGCACGAAGGCCAGGGGAGCAAACGGG